Molecule: long non-coding RNA, 762 nt
Organism: Pomacea canaliculata
Lineage: Eukaryota; Metazoa; Mollusca; Gastropoda; Architaenioglossa; Ampullariidae
Exons: 3
Source: RefSeq, a predicted model, not a curated record
UACAAACUACUGCAGAUUAUCUACCAUUAGACGUGGAAACGAUAACCAUGAAAAUUUAUUAUUACUUCUACAUCUACACCGUUCGCGUGGAAUCUUUAAAAGAAUUCUGCGAAUUUGCCAAUGUAGAAUACAACAGAAUUUUGGGAUAUGGAAAGACCAGAUGGUUAUUUCUUAUGCCUGCGGUGAAUAGACUACUCAAGUUAUUUCCUGGCUUAAAAUCAUAUUUCUUGUCUCAAGAGAAGUGACUGUGAAAUGUGGCCUGCUAAAGUGCACCAUUUCCCUUUUGUGUCUUUCAAGUAUUCAGUAAUGAAAAUAAUUUUCAGGAAGGAAGAAUACACCAGUUUCACUCAUGCAUAGAUUCCUUUUUGUUCUCUGGUUCUUAACUUUAUUUCUGUAACCCCUCUACGACAGGUCACCCAGAACCCACUGUGACCUGGGAAAGGGUGUUAAAGUGUUAACUAAUCACUGAUGAUGAUUAGUUCAGCAUCAACAGACUACAGACAACCAAAAUCUGAAAGCAGGGGAACAGUGGUACACUCUCAAGGUGAAAAAUGUGCAGGCUAAUGAUUUUAUUGACAACUAUUGCAUCAGCACAAAUAUCAAGGGCACCAUUUCUUCAAAAAUUAUAUUGUUUGAAACUCCCGACUGCCAGGGCGGGCCCAAACUGCCCUUUGCUGCCAACCUCCAGCUCCAGUAUCAUCAUAUCUCAUCGCCUUACCAUCAGCUGUGUUGCUGAUUAGAAGCAUUCAUGUGGCUCUUUGA